UCUUUUAAAGUAAAAAAUUACAUUUAAUUUCGACUUAAAAUAUGAUUAAUAUAAAUUAAUCUGAAAGAU
RNAcentral lists this transfer RNA (69 nucleotides) under Acropyga acutiventris. RNAcentral's name for it is "tRNA-Arg". Lineage: Eukaryota; Metazoa; Arthropoda; Insecta; Hymenoptera; Formicidae. The record is from RNAcentral.